Molecule: long non-coding RNA, 394 nt
Organism: Branchiostoma belcheri (Belcher's lancelet)
Lineage: Eukaryota; Metazoa; Chordata; Leptocardii; Amphioxiformes; Branchiostomatidae
Exons: 5
Source: RefSeq, a predicted model, not a curated record
AGAACCGAGAUUCGAAUGCAGACGACCGGACGCGAUGAAAUUUAGGGGUGACCUUGAACAGUUUGUGAUCAUGGCACAAGAACAUGGAGGCGCCAUCAUUCUGUCACGUUUCCUUUCGUCACACAAGCAAGUUUAGAGGUGACCUUGAACAGUUCACAAGAACCUGAAGGGCGCCUUGAUUCAUGGAUUCAUGCACGCUUUCGUUCAUCACAAGCAAUGAAGUUUAGAAGUGAUCACAAGAAACAUGGAGGAUGGAGGGCGCCAUCACUAAGUCAUUUUUUUUCACCACCGAAGAGCAAUGAAGUUUAGAGGUGACCUUGAAGUCAAAAACACAACAACCAAGAAGGGCAUCAUCACUCGCUCCAGUUUGCACGUGGACACAAGCACAGUGAGG